GAUGAACGCUGGCGGCGUGCCUAAUACAUGCAAGUCGAGCGAACAGACGAGGAGCUUGCUCCUCUGACGUUAGCGGCGGACGGGUGAGUAACACGUGGAUAACCUACCUAUAAGACUGGGAUAACUUCGGGAAACCGGAGCUAAUACCGGAUAAUAUAUUGAACCGCAUGGUUCAAUAGUGAAAGACGGUUUUGCUGUCACUUAUAGAUGGAUCCGCGCCGCAUUAGCUAGUUGGUAAGGUAACGGCUUACCAAGGCGACGAUGCGUAGCCGACCUGAGAGGGUGAUCGGCCAAACGGGAACUGAGACACGGUCCAGACGCCUACGGGAGGCAGCAGUAGGGAAUCUUCCGCAAUGGGCGAAAGCUUGACGGAGCAACGCCGCGUGAGUGAUGAAGGUCUUCGGAUCGUAAAACUCUGUUAUUAGGGAAGAACAAAUGUGUAAGUAACUAUGCACGUCUUGACGGUACCUAAUCAGAAAGCCACGGCUAACUACGUG
This 497-nucleotide ribosomal RNA is filed under the name uncultured bacterium. RNAcentral describes it as "partial 16S ribosomal RNA". It matches the Rfam family "Bacterial small subunit ribosomal RNA", at positions 28 to 507 of the family's 1533-position model. The record is from RNAcentral.